Long non-coding RNA from Daucus carota subsp. sativus, 440 nucleotides. RefSeq lists it as uncharacterized. The transcript is spliced from 3 exons. The record is from RefSeq and is a predicted model, not a curated record. Lineage: Eukaryota; Viridiplantae; Streptophyta; Magnoliopsida; Apiales; Apiaceae.
UGCAAAGUUGCAAAACUUUUUGCUGGAUAAUCUCCCUGAACUUGAGGCUGAAAAGAAGCCAGAAUUCAAGCUUGGAGUAAAGGAUAUCAAACUUGGUGCGCGCAUCUUUCGGAAAACGAACAUCCCUUGCAUUUGCGAUAAGUAUGUACUCGAGCUCAUUCGUGGUGUGCAUAAGCAUUUUGAUCUCUUGACUCGGUUCCCUGAGCCAUGUAACUUGGAUGGAGACCGUAGGGAACCUACAAAAAGAAUUAAAAAGUCCGUUCCACUGUUGAAAUACAAGCUCUUUGGAUGCACGGUUGAAGAUCUGAAGAAGGGAAGAACAAGAUACCGUGCAGCUACUUUGAUGGACACGGUUAGUGUCCACUACACUGUGACGCGGUCGAAGGAUAGCAAGUUGCUCCUUGAUACUAAUACUCUUGGAGACCCGGUUCAAUUUCGCG